Molecule: long non-coding RNA, 553 nt
Organism: Phyllopteryx taeniolatus (common seadragon)
Lineage: Eukaryota; Metazoa; Chordata; Actinopteri; Syngnathiformes; Syngnathidae
Exons: 3
Source: RefSeq, a predicted model, not a curated record
CGUGUGUGUGCGUGCGUGUGUGUGUGCUCACUAACCCAGUCCACGAUGAGGAUCUUGCCUACUCCCAGUUUAUGCUGGAGUAGCUUGGCAGUGAUGGCUACUGAAUUGAAGAAGCAAAACCCCCUGCUCUCACACAGACAAAUGCAUCUACGAACAUGGCAGUGGAUUCUUCUGCAUGAUGCCCUGGCGGACGCACGACUGCAAAGCCAUUCUGGCACAGAGACAGAAAAAAGACGGUCAAGAAGGCAGUAAGUUCGAAAGGACGCAAGUUCUAAAAAUGGAACCGACUUAUGAUGACCAGAGAAAGAUGGUGAGAGAAAAAGACACACCCCUAUUCCUCCACACGGAAGAACAGCAUACAUCUUCUGGCUGAUUGGACCUGAAACAACAGGUAUUGGUGUACACAAGACGAGACAGCGGUAAAGGACAUAUUACUUUAAAUCAACUUCAACGGUCAAAAUCAAAUAAAAAUACAGAGGUUCCUUGACAUACGAGUGAUCCGACCUACAAGUUUUUCGAGAUAUAAGCCUUUGCUUUGACUUGUGAGCAAAAU